GCCAAGAAAAACUGAAAAAUAUUCCUUUCGUAGGGACCACAAUUCAUAUCUUCUUUCUUUCUACAAUAUACACACACACGCUAAUAUAUAGAGAGGGAAUAGACACAAAAUAGAGAGAUCUGAAAAAGGGAGGAGAACGAGCAACUUUUCUCCAUGGAACUUAGCUGAAGCUUCAGACCUCACCCCAAAAUUCCAGAGACAGCCGCAAUACACACAAAAAUGACCUUCCCCCUAACCUAUCGUCUUCUUCAUGGAUACAAGUAGCUAACCCUAGGACAUAGAGCUUCAGCCUCAAGAACAAAAAGGAAUAGAACCACACCCCAUCGUCGAUCUUCUUCUUCUGGAAAAAUCAGCAAACCAAAACCAUAGAGACCCCACGAUCUUCAUCUUCUUCAACCUUGAGCAUACAGCAGCAACCCUAGGACCCCUAACCCAUCAAGGAAGCUCCAGCCGCUAAUCACCCAUCGAGAGCAAUUGCUGCUCUUUUUGUCUUCCUCUUCCAGCAGCUGCCAGAAAAAUGAGCUCCAGUAGCUCGUCGGAUUAACGAGCUCCAGCCGAGCAACAACGAACCAGAACACCAAACACUUUUGCUCAUCGCAAAAUCUCCACCAACCCACGAUAUUAACUCCAUUAUCUCAUACCAGAACCUGCUGGAAACCAGCAGCAACAGCUGCCAUAACUGGCCAGAAAUCCAGCAGAAACUUUGAGCACGUAACUCCAUCACCUCUCCUGUUCGAGUAGGAUUCGAGGUCGCCGGUUGGUUGUUCCGUUCGGUGUCUCCGGUCGUGGUUCUGGCUUCGGGUUCAUUAUUCCCGUUGAUGUCUUUGUCUUGAUUUACAAGAGAAUUUUCAAAGUGUUCGUAAGUCUCUUUUUCCGUUUUCAUUUGGAUUUGUUUUUUGUUUAGUAUCUUGUUUUAUUUUCUUAGUUCUUUAAUAAAUAUGUACUAUUGGCUUCUACUGUAUUAUGCUUUGGUAUUUGUGAUUUUCUUUUUGGUUUUGAUAAAGGUUCUAAAUCUGAUUGUUGAAGAAUUUGUAAAGAUUAAUCUUUUUGCUAGGAAAAUAUGUAGGUACAAAUAAGAAAGUGUACUGUUUCUUGGCCUGUUUGGUUUGAAUUAUUUAGGAAAUUUAUUCUUAGACAAAUGGUAAAAUAUAGUCAAUUCAAUGAAAUGAUGGUUUUAUUUGCUCAAUAUCUUUUGGAAAUUAACAAGCCAUUAAUUCUAAUUGUGAUAUGUGAUUGUUUUGAAACAGGUAAAUUGAUCCAAACCAAAAUACCCAUAUUGUAAUGAACAUUCGUAGUUUGCUUUAGUUGAGUACAAUCUUUUAAAAUAAUUCGAGGUGUGCCACUAGUUGAAUUUUUCAUGGACCUCGCAAAGUUGAAAGUGCGUAGUUUCUUUACGCGCGCUAUUUAAAAAAUUACCUUCCUAAACUCGGGUGUGCAUUUCAUGUGACCCAAAUCCAAAUCUUAACAACGUUAAAUAAAAUGUGUCUAAGACUGCGGGUGCAUUUCAUGUGACGUGGUCCAAAGACAUAUUUUAGAUGACGUUGAAAUAUUCCUUAAAACGAAUAAAAGCGGUUUAAAAGUAAAAUGCACAUAGGUUUGAAAGUGUUCUAAAAUCAGAUAAUUGAGCCAAUAAUAACAGUUGAGCGACCGUGCUAGAACCACGGAACUCGGAAAUGCCUAACACCUUCUCCCGGUUUAACAGAAUUCCUUACCUGGAUUUUUGUGUUCACGGACUGUGAAACAGAGUCAAUCUUUUCCUCGAGUCGGGAUUUUCACCGGUGACUUGGGACACCAUAAAAUUAUUCCAAGUGGCGACUCUGAUUUUUAAUAAAAAUAAAUCUCGUUUCGAUUGUCACUUAAAUUGGAAAAAACACCCUCAUACCUCUUCCGGGGUGUAGGUAAAAAGGAGGUGUGACACCAACCUUCAGAACACUCCAAACAACAUCGAAUCAUCAAAGCACCCUCGGAUUCAAGCCUAAGAUUCCCAAAACAUCCGAAUUCCGCAAACGAUCAAAAAAUCUAUCAAACCUCAUCCGAAUGACCUGAAAUUUUGCAUACACAUCUCAAAUGACACAACGGACCUACUCCAAUUUCCGAAAUUCCAUUCUGACCCUGAUAUCAAGAUUUCAACUACCAACCGAAAAAUGCCAAAAUUCCAAUUUUGCCAAUUCCAACCUAAAUCUACCACGGACCUCCGAAUUACAUUCCAAUCACGCUCCUAAGUCUCAAAUUACCUAACGAAGCUAUCCGAACCAUAAAAACUAUAUUCCGACACUGUUUGCUCACAAGUCAACUUCCGGUUGAUUUUGCCAACUAAAAGGCCAACUUAAGAGACUAAGUGUCUCAUUUCUCUAUAAAACCACUCCGAACCCGAACCAAACAACCCGAUACCACGUAAUACAACUGAACAACACAUAAAGAAGCGGAAAUGAGGAAAAUGGAGUGGUAGUUCAUGAAACAACCCGCCGGGUCAUUAUAGAUUUGAACGAAAAGAUGUGACAUACAGGAUCUGAAAAGGUUGAUGACGUGGCACUCAAUUUUUUUUGUUUCUUUUGAGAUAUUUAUUAGAAAAACACAAGACUACUAACCUAUAGUACAAGAACUGGGUUCUUGACCGGUCUUUCAAAAAUUCUUAACCCUCUUUUACCGCUCAUGCAGUGCUUUUGCAGCUUUUAUGAUUAUCAUGUAUGUCUACCUGCAACGGUAUAGAAGUGAGUUAGACUUGGCUAGAAAAUACCUUAGCUAAUUUCACCUGAAUGUAACUUUCAUAGCCAUAUGAAAGGAAUCAGGUUCUCAGUUAGGCUUCAUUAGCCCAAUGUCAUCCCGUUUCUCUCAAAAUGUUCUCUGCUCAAAGAUUUGGUGAAGAUAUCUGCAAUUUGGUCUUCUGUACUACAGAACUUCAUGCAGAUAAGCCCCUUCUCCACAUUGUCUCUGAAAAAAUAAUGUCUCACAUCAAUGUGCUUGGUUCUUUUAUGCUGGACCAGGUUCUUGCCCAUGUUGAGUGCACUGGUGUUGUCACAUAGAAGAGGCACACAAUCAGUGUACACACCAAAAUCUUCCAAUUGAUGUUUGAUCCAUAGGAGUUGAGCACAGCAAGAAGUUGCGGCAACAUAUUCUGCUUCAACUGCUGAAAGAGCUACUGAAUUUUGCUUCCUUGUGCCCCAUGAAAUAAGACAUGAUCCUAGGAAGUGAGCCAUUCCAGAUGUGCUUUUCCUGUCCACAAGACAAUCUGCAUAAUCAGCAUCAGCAUACCCAAUAAGAUUAAAAUUGUCACCUGAAGGGUAGUACAGAACGAGGUCCUGUGUUCCCUUAAGAUAUCUCAAAAUUCUUUUGGCAGCAUUCAAAUGAGAUUACUUGGGAUUUGACUGAAACUUUGCACAUAGUCCCACACUGAAAACAAUAUCUUGCCUGAUUGCAGUAAGAUAAAGGAGAGAUCUAAUGAUGCCUCUAUAUAUUGUUUGAUUCACCGGAGAGCCAGAUUCGUCCAUGUAAAGUCUAGUAGCAGUGGUAAUGGGAGUGUUAAUCAUUUUUUAUGCUUCCAUGUCAAACCUCUUCAGAAGCUCUUUGAUAUACUUCUGCUAACUAAUGAAUGUUCCCUUUGUGGACUGCUUCACUUGAAGACCCAAGAAGAAAUUCAACUCACCCAUCAUGCUCAUCUCAAACUCAAUUCCCAUGAGUUUUGAAAAUUCCUCACAUAGUGAAUCAGUUGUUUCCCCAAAAAUGAUAUCAUCAACAUAUACCUGAACAAUGAGCAGGUUCCUCUCUCGUUUCUUCAGAAACAAAGUGUUGUUAAUUUUUCUUCUUAUAAAACCAUUUUCUAAGAUAAAUUUUGACAAUCUUUCAUACCAAGCUCGAGGAGCCUGCUUCAACCUAUACAGUGCCUUGUCCAAUUUGAACACCUGAUCAGGGUGCUCAUGACACUCAAAUCCUGGAAGUUUCUUUACAUAGACUUCUUCCUUGAGGAAACCAUUUAGAAAUGCGCUUUUGACAUCCAUUUGGAACAGAGUGAAUUCCAUAUGUGAUGCAAAGUCAAUGAGGAUUUUGAUAGCUUCCAUACGAGCAACUGGAGCAAAAAUCUCAUCAUAAUCAAUUCCUUCCUCCUGAUUGUAGCCUUGGACCACUAGCCUUGCCUUGUUCCUUGUGGUGUUUCCAUGUUCAUCAAGCUUAUUUCUGAAUACCCACCUGGUCACUAUGAUAGUCCGAUCUAAGUGUCUAGGUCCAGCUGCCAUACUUUGUUCCUUUCGAAUUGAUGCAACUCAUCGUGUAUGGUUGUGAUCCACUCUGCAUCUUCUAAGGCUUCCUUAAUGUUUUUGGGCUCUAUUUGGGAUAGAAAUACUGAGAAGGCAAGUGAAUUUCUGGCUUUUGAUCUGGUUUGGACUCUUGAAUCUAAAGGAGUAAUUUUGUUGUUAAGAGGAAGGGGCUUUUGUGUUUAUAGUUGGGCACUUGAGCUUCACUUAUAGAGGAGCUGGGUAAUCCUGACUGGUUCCCUUGUAUCCUUCUUUCAGUUACCUGUGGAGUAAUUUGAACUGCAUCAACCACUCUUUCUUCAGCUUCAGUGGUUGUUAUUAUAGUACCUGGUUCCUCUCCGGCUAAUGAGGAAGAGACUACAUUGUCUUCACUUGUCUCCUUCACUUGACUCAUCAUAUCUGCCUUUCCAUUUUCCAUAUCAAUGACCUCACCUGGAACCAGCAGAGGCUCUCCAUCUUGAUCAUCCUUGUUGCUUUUCUCACAGGAGAGGUAGGACUCGUCAAAGAUUACAUGUACACUCUCUUCAACACUGUUACACCCACAUUUUUUAAUAUGAAAGUGCGCCAUAAAUAAAUUGAUGAGAGCUUAAAAAUGAGAUGUUACACCCCGUAUUUUUUGUACGUUAAUGUUUCGUCGUAAGUUAAUCGACGUAAUCUCGGGAAUGAGAUUAUUUUGGGAUUAUAAGUAUUAUUCUAUUCCAAAUAAGUGAUGAGAAUAUUCCUUAAGGAGAGAGGGUAAGCAAAUCGAAGAAAAUAAAAUUCCUCGAAGUUUGACAAUUUGGGAUAAAAUAUGGUCCAAGCUAUAAUACCCGGUAUUUGUGGAUUAGUGUCAUACAAGGUACCAUAUGACCAUGAUAGUAUGAUGUAUAAAUUAUAUUCAAAAGGAAUAGUAUUUUAAGUAACUUGAGAUAAUUCUUAAUUAUGUGGGUAAUUAGUUAAUUAUUGGACUAGUAGGGGAAUUAAUGGAUUGAUUAAAAAAAGGGGUGGAUAAUUGGAUAAGUGAGGGGAACUCACUUGGUAGCACUCCUUAAACACCAAGAAUGACUCUUUAAGUCAUUAUAUUAUGUGGCAAAUUAUACAAAUGAGUCACUAGACAAAGUGACAACUCAUUUACACAUAAAGACUUUUUCGCCUCUUUAUUGGAAAAGUAUAUGACUUUUCAAAGUUAAGAUAACAUUCCUAUACCAUUAAAAGAGAAAAAUGACAAUGAUCCAACGUGAAUUUGCUCUGAAAUCUUACAAGAUCCAACGUGAAAGGCUAGUUCAAAGAAAGCCCGGUACAAUCUUUCUCAAGAAUAUCAUACGGAUUUUUCCCUACUCUGAUCUUGCCGACAUGUGUUUUGUCACAAUUAAUGUGUGUUAGAGGGAUUGUCAAGAGAAUCGGCUCAGAUAUGUUAAGGCUAUCCCUUAUUUUCUUUUGGCAUGAUCCAUACGAUACAAACGAAAUUAGAAAAUGCACAACUUCCAUAAAAGACUCUAUUCAUAGAAGUAUUAGAAGAGCCUAUGUUCUUGAAUUCUCAUGUACCUUGUUAUCUAUCAUUUGUUCAUGGGUCUCAGAAAAAUACGUAAGUUGAAAAAAGUUUACUUCAUGAUAUUACUCAAAAACAUAAUGGUCUUAUGACAAUCCAAGAGAUUUUAUUGACGUACUUCUCAUGCAUUGCAUUCAUUUACGUUGACCCAUGACCAGAAGGCAUUAUAUACGUGUAUAUAUGUAUAUUAUAUGUAUAUGGGAUAUGAAAAAAGGUUACAGCGUUAUAUACGCACCACCACCUGAUCAGCUGGUAUACGUUGAUGAUUUUGCCCACAGUGGCCGAUAUUAUAUGAUGGGAUGCCUUCAGAGGCUUGAUGAUGUUAUGAAAUAUGUACCUAUGCACGACAUGAUAUUCAUAUGCAUAUACAUGACACUAUAAGUAUUUCAUGAUUUACAGAGUUAUCCAGACUUACAAGUUGAGUCAAUUACUCCAUGUUUCUUCCAUGUCUUUUAUAUACUUAUUUAUGUGCCUUACAUACUCGGUACAUUAUUCGUACUAACUUCCCUUUUGCCUGAGGAUGCUACAUUUCAUACCCGUAGGUCUUGAUAGACAGGAUGAGAGUCCUCUAAGUAGACAGGAUGAGAAUCCUCUAAGUCGCUUAUUUGGUCAGUAUGCUUAUGAUGGAUAAAUAUGAGGUAUUCAGCACAUCAUGUGUAUACUAAGACGUGUAAGCCUCUUGAUAAGGAACCUUAAGGAAAGAAUAUUUAUCCACCUUUAUGGUGAAAGAUAAUGAGAGAUUCAGAAGAUAAAUACAAGAUUCAAGAAGUAAAAGAAGCAAGGUGAAGAAGGGUACGAGGCACCUAGUUAAUGAAGAGUAUCAGUAUUACAGUUCCGGCAGAAAAAUAUAAGCAUUGUGAGUUACCCUCAACAGUAACAAAGGUAUGUAUAAUUGGCCACACCCAUUUUAGUUAUACCCUAUUGGGAGCUAACAUACAUAGUUUAAGAGAAGGACGAGUUAUAAGGAUCUGGCUGGGGAUAGAGUAGCCCAAAAUAGUGGAUGGAUUGGCAGAGUUAGUUGACAUUUCCGAAGGAUAGUACAAGUAUGGUAAUAGGUCUCCUUGUGAGACACCUAGAUGGUGCACUCUGAAAUAGUAAAGCUAGAUAUGAGUACUAUAAAGAUAAACACUGGAAGCCUUGAAGGGAUAAAUAUUACCUUAGUAUGGUUCCCGUACCUAGUAGAGGGAGAAUGUUAGGCAGCCCGAAGAGCCAGUAGAUGGAGAAAGGGAAGGUAAAAGCAAAAUAAUGUCUUGUUAAAGUUUUCAGGAUAAAGUGAUAGAUAGAAAUAUUAGUAGGGAAGUACGAAGAGGGAUAAUGAAACAUUAUGAGUGAGAUGUGAUACAUGUAUGGCAACAGUAGAGUGUUACAGAAUCUAUAGUCAAAUGAAGAAAGAGAUGAGAGGUGAUAGGCCUUAAGACAACAAAAGAGUAUAGGCCAAACAGUCACAUCCUCAUUUUAAGAAAUAAGUUCGAAACUCUAACGUGAUUAACAGAAGGAAAAGUUAGACCCCAAGAGUAAUAGAAAUCCGUAUGGACUGGUGAACAAGGUAAACUAAACAUGAAUUAGGAACUGAGUGAUUUGAUAAUCGUCAACAUCAUGAGAAUUUCAUAUUACAUUCUGUCAACAAAUAGAAUAGACAACAGAAGAAGAUCCAUGAUGAAUUCAGAGAAUGGUCAUUCAGGGAGACGUUUCCUAAACCAAGUAAUAUGAGCAAAGUUAAGCUUAAGGGACUGUAUGUGCCAGUUAUACUACGUGUCACCAUCGCGAGUGAGGAAUUUUGUUAUCCUUGGUACAGAAAGAUUGCCGCAAGGCAACUAAGGGUCAUUGAUGAUGUGAAAGGACGCCAAAGAUGAAGAGGAAAAACAUCUAUAGGCAGGUCGUCAUAGCUCCAAGUCUNNNNNNNNNNAAAUGAGAAAGGGAUGAGAUUGACCAAAUGUUACAAAUAUGUUAUGAUUCCAGAACGUUAUGUCAGAAUGACAUUAGAAAAAGAAAGUAAGGAUUCCUGUCUGGGAUGUUAUUGAUAGAUAAGGAGCUAGUACGUGAGGUAAGUUAAAACAAGGAAAUAACCCAAGAAAGAUUAAGCAGAAUAUGGAUAUGAGAAUGGGAUGACAAGUAGUUAGUAGUUGAUUCAGGAAGAGCCUAGUCAUGACUAGACAAGAAUUUACAGACAAAUCAGUAGAUCAUGCAAGAUAAAUGUAGUAAACCCCAACAUGGAGAAUUCAGCCUCGCAGUAAUGUCAUUAUAAUACUUGAGAUAUAUUCAAAUAGGAGUCGGGGUAGUUAAAGGUACCGUAUGAGUGUUACAGGGUUAAAAGAAAGUGCCACUUGGAAGGCAGUCAAAAUAUCAAUUCAGAAGCAUUCCUACAAGUACAAGGGCACGGAGGUAAGCAACUACGGAUGAUUAUAGGCAAGGAAGGACAUAAAAAAAGGUCUGUAGUAAGCUCACAGCUUUACGAGAGUCAAGGGUUCUCCCUAAGUACUAGAAUGAAAGACUAGCUGAGGAAAUAAGGAACAAGGCUUCAACCUAAGCACACCAACCUAAAGAGGAAAUGGUUGUGUAACCACAGUCUCGCAAUAACAUUGUAAGCAGUCCAAAGGAAAGUGGCACCUACUGUGGCUAAUGAACGGGAAGUAAAAUUAAAAGUAAUAUUCGAGAUCAUAUGAGUUGUAUAAAAACUAUGGCAUGUAUGGGAAUUAAGAUAAGCUAAGUAUGGACGCAAUAAGGGGCAGAAAGACCAAGAAAAGUAAUAGCCUACAUUGAAAGAAAGCUAAGAUGGAGUGAAAGAAAUUAUUCGAUCAACGAUCCAGAGUGGGUUAUGUUAUGAACACACUUAAGGGUUCGGAGUUUUAUACAUGUAGCAUAUACAGCCAUAAAAGAUUCUGGUAUAGGUUAAAGAAAGAAUUGAGCCCAGGUCUUAGACAAGAGAUUAAAUUGUUAAAGGACUAUAUCAUGCAUAUUCCUCAGCGCCCAUGAAAGGCUAAAUAGAAUAACUAAUACCAUGAACCACAGAUCGGGAGAUAACUUAAGCCGACAUAAAGGCCGAUCAGAAGAAGGAGGAAUCUAAAGAGUUACAUCAAUGAAGUAAAUCAGGAAUCCAAUUAUUGGACCUAGAAGUUAUAGGAAUCAUGAUUGAGAACAUAGCAGAAUCCCUCUUAAUAUCAGAAAUACAGGAGAGAUAGUACAACAGUCAUAUUCUAUAACGGCUCUAUGAUAAAGCCAGUUAGAAUAGUACCAGCCUCAUAAGAAGUCAGUACGUAGCUCCCACUGGAUUGUGUAUGCACUGUGAGCACGUGAUUUUUGCUCUCACGACAAUUACUCCAAAAGAAAUCGAAAAAUAAAACAAAUUUUCUUUGUGCGUAAUUUUUAAAAUCUGUAUGGCAUUUCAGAUAGUUAUUUGUAGUUUUGUCUGUGAUUGUUUAAAUACAAAAAAAAAUGUUUGCAUGAAUUUAGGAUUUUCUGCUAUUAGGAAUUAAUUAAAUCAUAUUUGGAAUGAAAAUCACAAAAAAAUAUUAUUUUUGGUAAUUUUGUCAUUUUUAUUGUUUAAUGGUUGAUUUUGUUUAAUUAAUAUUUGAUAUUGUGUGUUAAUUAUUGCUAAAAAUCAAUUAAUGUCUGUGUGAUAUAAUUUUUAUUUUCAUAAUUUAUUUUUAGGAUUUUUGUAAAUUCGGAAUUUAAACUAGGAAUUAAAAAGGAAAAGAACAAAAAAUAGAAAAGAAAUUUGGACUGGGCCAUUCCCUUUUUGGGCCAAAAUCAGGCCCAAACGAGACCUAUACCCGGUCCAAACCUUCAGUUCUCAAAGACGCCUCAGAUGACGCCAUUUCGAGAUCAGCGAAUCUCGACCGUUCAUCCAUACUCAUCCAACGGUCCAAGAUCUCACCCCAUAACCCGACCUACUUACCCGGAUCGACCCAGUCCCUCAUUAAAACCAAACGGCCCCGUUUCUACACCAAACGACCCCGUUUCUACACCAAACGACCCCUCCCGUCCUUCACCAAUUAAUCCGAGCCGUUAAGAUCAUUUGAUCUAACGACUCAAAUUAAUUGUCACAUUUAAUAUACCCAAAAAUCCCCAAACCCCUUUACCCGUUUCAUUCCCAAACACCACCCCCCUUCGUCUCUGAAAGAGAUGAACCAAACGACCUCGGAACCCUAGCGCCGCCUUUCCACCCCCUCACCAUAAACCCAGCGGCAACGAUGCUGAUGACCACCAAAUUAACACCCCUAGUGCACCUCGACCCCCUGGACACGAAUCUACAAACCGUUUGGCUCGAAUCAACCUACAUCGUCUCGAAUCUUCAUCUAAAGAUUCAAUCCAAACCUCAACCUAUAUCAACCGACCCCAAAUUCACACCAGUUACUCCCCUGACCUCCCUCGUGACCAAACCAAGCCUGGUUUGGUUCGAAUCGAACUAGAAAAGCUCGAACCCCUAAUCUGAGCCCCAAGAACCCUAGAAGUCCAAGAACCAGGAAUUUGUCCAAAUUAGCAGAGGGUGUGGGGUCUAAUAGACCUUAGUCGAAGUGUUCUCCGUUGAGAACACUUGAUUAAGGUCCAUUCGACCUCAAAAAGGUCGAGUCUGAGUUCGGACCGGGGUCAUCUAGUUUUCUUGAGGUAUUCUUUUUCCCUUUCUGUUUGUUCUAUUUUUUUGUUUGUUUUGUUAUUCGUUUGUGUGGUUAGAAUGAUUUUAUUUCCAAUUUCUGUGUUUUGUUCUUCUUCUUCUCCAAAUCAGACCUAUUAUUUGGUCGAAAUUUUCGUCUGUUCAUUGUUAAGUGUAUGUGUUAAACUAUAUAAUCAAUUGGAAUGAGUUUGGUCGAUUAAUUAGUUUCCAAGGUAAUUCCCUGUUUUGUCAGUACAACUUGAAUCACCUAUGUGUACUGUUCGAUUCUGAUCAUUAGCUAUUGACUAUAUAUGUUGUAAUUCAUAUAGUCGAUUGGAUAAAUGUCGUCAAUUAGUUUAAACAGGUUGGGAUGUUAGAAACCUGCAAAUUGUUCAGUUUUAAUGGUCUGUCAGUUUAAUACUAAUAUACCACUAAGCUAAUGAAUAAAAUAGGGAUUAAUAGUGGGAGUGAUAAUAUGUUAAGUGCCUUUAGUGGCUGGAAAUCAGAAAGAGCAUGGGGUUUAAUUUUAAAAUAGAAAUGGCCAGUUAAAAGACUGACAGAUUUUUUUAAAUUAACUAGUGAAAAAGGUACGACUUGAGUUGACUUAGUGACCUUACUGGUGGGAAAUCAGUAACAGCAUGGGUUUAAUGAUAAAAAGGUAGAAAUGCACAUGAGGAGGGAAUAAAACAGGUUGAAAGUGAAAUGUUUGAAGAAAAGAAUGGCCAAUUCUAGUCUAUAAAUAGACUGGAUUUUGGACAAGAAAAGGGGGGGAGAACCUAAGGGAGUCUAUUUUUGAACUAGUGAAGAAAGCUCAUUUCUUGACUUCAAUCCUAGAUAGACAAUAAAAAAAAAAGCAAAAGAAAAACCUCUGUUGUUCCAUUGAAGUGGAGAAAAUUCUGCUUUCCUUCACUGUUUGAAAUCAGCACUAACUGCUAUUAUUCCAUUGAAGCUUCAAGCUUCUUUCUUUGAGUGUUCAAAAAUCAUAAACUAUUGUUCCACUGUUGUUUCGGAUUCACCUGUUUCUGCCUGUGAUUAACAUUGGUAUUUCCGGGUCUCAACUGAGUCUCCCGAGUCUGUUUUGGUUGGAUAUUGGCACUAUUUCAUUGGUUUAUUUCUGGUUUGUUCACUGGGAUUUAUUCUGCUUGGUUGUUAGUGCUGCUGUUGCUGUUGCUAUUUGCUGUUUACUGCUGCUUCUACUGAUCUUCAUCUUCUUUCCUUGCUUUCCAAAUACCAGGUACACAAAUUGAUACACUGGUACAUCUUGUAAGCUACUCGAAGCAUGAAUGCAAAAUGGGAAAGAUUUGAAGCUGUAGUUUAAUGUAGUCUUUUCUUUUUUUUACUGUCUGUACUUAGAACAUUUUAUGCACUGCCCAUGUAAACUCUGGUUAUAUACUGAAUCUCGGUUGUAUAUAUGUUAGCUAGUUGCCUUCACUGGAAUCAGGUAGUUGUUGGUUAUGUAUAACAUGGGCACUAUCCUAUAGCAGUUUAAGUUGUAAACUUCUUCCCCGUAGGUUUUUAGUUUAAAAGGACUAAUAGUGUAGUUGUAACAUUCUGCUAGUUCAAUAUGUUCGAAUAAACAGCAUGUUCCAAAUACACAUCAGGCCUUAGGUUGAUUACUUAAUAGUUCAAACUAUUUUAGUUCAAACUAUUUUAGUUAACAACUUGCUCAUCUAAAUUUGUAAAAAAG
RNAcentral lists this long non-coding RNA (12053 nucleotides) under Nicotiana tabacum (common tobacco). Its description in RNAcentral is "long non-coding RNA (NTAB_LNC019105)". The record is from RNAcentral. Lineage: Eukaryota; Viridiplantae; Streptophyta; Magnoliopsida; Solanales; Solanaceae.